Molecule: ribosomal RNA, 450 nt
Filed under: uncultured bacterium
Lineage: Bacteria
Description: partial 16S ribosomal RNA
Rfam family: Bacterial small subunit ribosomal RNA
Source: RNAcentral
GUGGGGAAUUUUGGACAAUGGGCGCAAGCCUGAUCCAGCAAUGCCGCGUGCAGGAAGAAGGCCUUCGGGUUGUAAACUGCUUUUGUACGGAACGAAACGGUCCGGGUUAAUACCCUGGGCUAAUGACGGUACCGUAAGAAUAAGCACCGGCUAACUACGUACCAGCAGCCGCGGUAAUACGUAGGGUGCAAGCGUUAAUCGGAAUUACUGGGCGUAAAGCGUGCGCAGGCGGUUUUGUAAGACAGGCGUGAAAUCCCCGGGCUCAACCUGGGAAUUGCGGUUGUGACUGCAAGGAUGGAGUGCGGCAGAGGGGGAUGGAAUUCCGCGUGUAGCAGUGAAAUGCGUAGAUAUGCGGAGGAACACCGAUGGCGAAGGCAAUCCCCUGGGCCUGCACUGACGCUCAUGCACGAAAGCGUGGGGAGCAAACAGGAUUAGAUACCCUAGUAGUCC